UGGGAUCAUUGGUGCUCUGCAACUUGUGACGGGGGACGAUGGCGAGAAUGAUGGUAAUUGGGUUGAAAGUCCGAAUCCUCUCUCGGAUAAUUUCACCUUUUGUUUUCAGGGCCAGAGGAUUUCGUACGAGGAUUUUGAAUGGGAGGAGGUGGAGGAACGGGUGGACGAAAGGGAAAAUUCGAGCGUAGUUGUAGAUAGAGCUGAGGAAUUGUCUCUUGCAUCGGGUUUUUCCAAUGAAGAAGAAUCGGGAGAAGAGGCGGGUCGGUGGGAAAUCCUAUUGGUAAUGAACG
This 290-nucleotide unclassified non-coding RNA is filed under the name Hevea brasiliensis (rubber tree). Lineage: Eukaryota; Viridiplantae; Streptophyta; Magnoliopsida; Malpighiales; Euphorbiaceae. The record is from RNAcentral.